CACGUAGGGCGCAAGCGUUGUCCGGAAUUAUUGGGCGUAAAGAGCUCGUAGGCGGUCUGUUGCGUCCGCUGUGAAAACUCGGGGCUUAACCCCGAGCCUGCAGUGGAUACGGGCAGACUAGAGGUAGGUAGGGGAGAAUGGAAUUCCCGGUGUAGCGGUGAAAUGCGCAGAUAUCGGGAGGAACACCGGUGGCGAAGGCAGGUCUCUGGGCUGACACUGACGCUCAUGCACGAAAGCGUGGGGAGCAAACAGG
Molecule: ribosomal RNA, 253 nt
Filed under: uncultured bacterium
Lineage: Bacteria
Description: partial 16S ribosomal RNA
Rfam family: Bacterial small subunit ribosomal RNA
Source: RNAcentral